GUCGAACGAGAAAGCCGAAAGCUUGCUUUUGGCGAGUAAAGUGGCGCACGGGUGAGUAACGCGUGGGUAAUCUACCUCCGAAUUCGGGAUAACACUUCGAAAGGAGUGCUAAUACCGGAUGACAUCCUUUGUACUUUGGUAUGGGGGAUCAAAGAUAGCCGCUUCGUGAAAGCUAUUGUUUGGAGAUGAGCCCGCGUCCCAUUAGCUUGUUGGUAGGGUAACGGCCUACCAAGGCAGCGAUGGGUAGCUGGUCUGAGAGGAUGGCCAGCCACACUGGAACUGGAACACGGUCCAGACUCCUACGGGAGGCAGCAGUGAGGAAUUUUGCGCAAUGGGGGCAACCCUGACGCAGCAACGCCGCGUGAGUGAUGAAGGCCUUCGGGUCGUAAAGCUCUGUCAAGUGGGAAGAACGUAUCAUAUGUGAACAGCGUAUGGUAUUGACGGUACCACUGAAGGAAGCACCGGCUAACUCCGUGCCAGCAGCCGCGGUAAUACGGAGGGUGCAAGCGUUAUUCGGAUUUACUGGGCGUAAAGGGCGCGUAGGCGGUUGAUCAAGUCAGAUGUGAAAUCCCGGGGCUCAACCCCGGAAGUGCAUCUGAAACUGGUCGGCUUGAGUAUGGUAGAGGGAAGUGGAAUUCCUGGUGUAGCGGUGAAAUGCGUAGAUAUCAGGAGGAACACCGGUGGCGAAGGCGACUUCCUGGACCAAAACUGACGCUGAGGCGCGAAGGUGUGGGGAGC
RNAcentral lists this ribosomal RNA (738 nucleotides) under uncultured bacterium. Its description in RNAcentral is "bacterial SSU rRNA". It matches the Rfam family "Bacterial small subunit ribosomal RNA", at positions 61 to 769 of the family's 1533-position model. The record is from RNAcentral.